RNAcentral lists this ribosomal RNA (465 nucleotides) under uncultured bacterium. Its description in RNAcentral is "partial 16S ribosomal RNA". It matches the Rfam family "Bacterial small subunit ribosomal RNA", at positions 28 to 507 of the family's 1533-position model. The record is from RNAcentral.
GACGAACGCUGGCGGCGUGCUUAACACAUGCAAGUCGAACGGAAAGGCCCCUUUGGGGGUACUCGAGUGGCGAACGGGUGAGUAACACGUGAGUAACCUGCCCUUGACUUCGGGAUAACUUCAGGAAACUGGGGCUAAUACCGGAUAGGAAUCCUUGCUGCAUGGUGGGGGUUGGAAAGCUUCGGCGGUUUUGGAUGGACUCGCGGCUUAUCAGCUUGUUGGUGGGGUAGUGGCUUACCAAGGCUUUGACGGGUAGCCGGCCUGAGAGGGCGACCGGCCACAUUGGGACUGAGAUACGGCCCAGACUCCUACGGGAGGCAGCAGUGGGGAAUAUUGCACAAUGGGCGGAAGCCUGAUGCAGCAACGCCGCGUGCGGGAUGACGGCCUUCGGGUUGUAAACAGCUUUCAGCAGGGGCGAAGCUUGUGGUGACGGUACCUGCAGAAGAAGCACCGGCUAACUACGUG